UGCGUAGGCGGGUCUUUAAGUCAGGGGUGAAAUCCUGGAGCUCAACUCCAGAACUGCCUUUGAUACUGAGGAUCUUGAGUUCGGGAGAGGUGAGUGGAACUGCGAGUGUAGAGGUGAAAUUCGUAGAUAUUCGCAAGAACACCAGUGGCGAAGGCGGCUCACUGGCCCGAUACUGACGCUGAGGCAAAGCGUGGGGGAGCAAACA
RNAcentral lists this ribosomal RNA (205 nucleotides) under uncultured bacterium. RNAcentral's name for it is "partial 16S ribosomal RNA". It matches the Rfam family "Bacterial small subunit ribosomal RNA", at positions 568 to 774 of the family's 1533-position model. The record is from RNAcentral.